RNAcentral lists this unclassified non-coding RNA (274 nucleotides) under Dothideomycetes sp. RNAcentral's name for it is "partial contains 5.8S ribosomal RNA, internal transcribed spacer 2, and large subunit ribosomal RNA". The stretch from base 1 to 71 matches the Rfam family "5.8S ribosomal RNA", at positions 84 to 154 of the family's 154-position model. Lineage: Eukaryota; Fungi; Ascomycota; Dothideomycetes. The record is from RNAcentral.
GUGAAUCAUCGAAUCUUUGAACGCACAUUGCGCCCUUUGGUAUUCCGAGGGGCACGCCUGUUCGAGCGUCAUUUAAACCAUCAAGCCCUGCUUGGUCUUGGACGCGGUCGAGUGACCCGUCCGUAACCCGUUGGCGGUGCAGUCCGGCUUCAAGCGUAGCAAGAAUUUCGCUUUAGGAGUCCGCGGCGGCGUCUGCCAGGAAACACCACCUAAAGUUUGACCUCGGAUCAGGUGAGGAUACCCGCUGAACUUAAGCAUAUCAAUAAGCGGAGGA